GACGAACGCUGGCGGCGUGCUUAACACAUGCAAGUCGAACGGAAAGGCCCUGCUUUUGUGGGGUGCUCGAGUGGCGAACGGGUGAGUAACACGUGAGUAACCUGCCCUUGACUUUGGGAUAACUUCAGGAAACUGGGGCUAAUACCGGAUAGGAGCUCCUGAUGCAUGGUGGGGGUUGGAAAGUUUCGGCGGUUGGGGAUGGACUCGCGGCUUAUCAGCUUGUUGGUGGGGUAGUGGCUUACCAAGGCUUUGACGGGUAGCCGGCCUGAGAGGGUGACCGGCCACAUUGGGACUGAGAUACGGCCCAGACUCCUACGGUAGGCAGAAGUGGGGAAUAUUGCACAAUGGGCGGAAGCCUGAUGCAGCAACGCCGCGUGCGGGAUGACGGCCUUCGGGUUGUAAACCGCUUUCGCCUGUGACGAAGCGUGAGUGACGGUAAUGGGUAAAGAAGCACCGGCUAACUACGUG
RNAcentral lists this ribosomal RNA (468 nucleotides) under uncultured bacterium. RNAcentral describes it as "partial 16S ribosomal RNA". It matches the Rfam family "Bacterial small subunit ribosomal RNA", at positions 28 to 507 of the family's 1533-position model. The record is from RNAcentral.